UACGAAGGGGGCUAGCGUUGUUCGGAAUUACUGGGCGUAAAGCGCGCGCAGGCGGCUAUCCAAGUCAGUGGUGAAAGCCCGGAGCUCAACUCCGGAACUGCCAUUGAAACUGUUUAGCUUGAGGAUGAGAGAGGUGAGUGGAAUUCCCAGUGUAGAGGUGAAAUUCGUAGAUAUUGGGAGGAACACCAGAGGCGAAAGCGGCGACCUGGACAGGUACUGACACUCAACUACGAAAGCGUGGGGAGCAAACAGG
Molecule: ribosomal RNA, 253 nt
Filed under: uncultured bacterium
Lineage: Bacteria
Description: partial 16S ribosomal RNA
Rfam family: Bacterial small subunit ribosomal RNA
Source: RNAcentral